UCAGGAUGAACGCUGGCGGCGUGCUUAACACAUGCAAGUCGAGCGAAGCGAUUCAAAUGAAGUUUCGGAUGGAUUUGAAUUGACUUAGCGGCGGACGGGUGAGUAACGCGUGGGUAACCUGCCUCAUACAGGGGGAUAACAGUUGGAAACGACUGCUAAUACCGCAUAAGCACACAGUGCCGCAGUGGUACGGUGUGAAAAACUCCGGUGGUAUGAGAUGGACCCGCGUCUGAUUAGGUAGUUGGUGAGGUAACGGCCCACCAAGCCGACGAUCAGUAGCCGACCUGAGAGGGUGACCGGCCACAUUGGGACUGAGACAUGGCCCAAACUCCUACGGGAGGCAGCAGUGGGGAAUAUUGGACAAUGGGGGAAACCCUGAUCCCAGCGACGCCGCGUGAGUGAAGAAGUAUUUCGGUAUGUAAAGCUCUAUCAGCAGGGAAGAAAAUGACGGUACCUGACUAAGAAGCCCCGGCCAACUACGUGCCAGCCGCCGC
RNAcentral lists this ribosomal RNA (494 nucleotides) under uncultured bacterium. RNAcentral describes it as "bacterial SSU rRNA". It matches the Rfam family "Bacterial small subunit ribosomal RNA", at positions 24 to 518 of the family's 1533-position model. The record is from RNAcentral.